CACGCCGUAAACGUUGAGAACUAAGUGUUGGGGAGACCCAGUGCUGAAGCUAACGCAUUAAGUUCUCCGCCUGAGGAGUACGCACGCAAGUGUAAAACUUAAAGGAAUUGACGGGGCCCGCACAAGCAGUGGAGCAUGUGGUUUAAUUCGUGGCUACGCGAAGAACCUUACCAGGGCUUGACAGGAAACUUAAGACCCUAGAGAUAGGGGGAUAAUAAGUGAAACAGGUGG
Molecule: ribosomal RNA, 231 nt
Filed under: uncultured bacterium
Lineage: Bacteria
Description: partial 16S ribosomal RNA
Rfam family: Bacterial small subunit ribosomal RNA
Source: RNAcentral